UAAAAAUUAUAAUAUUAGGUAGUAAUGAAUAUUCUGAAACCUAAAGAAUUUGGCGGUAUUUUAAAUAAUUGGAGGAACCUGUUAUUUAAUUGAUAUUCCACAACAUAUCUUAUCUAAAUUUUGUUUGUAUAUCGUUGUUCAUGAUGAUAUUUUAAAAUUAUAAUCUAAAUUAAUUUUAUUUUUCACUUCAAAUCAAGGUGCAGCAUAUUUUGAUUAUAAUGGGUUACAAUAUAGUUUAUAUAUAACGAAUAAAUUAUGAAAAAUAAUUUGAAGGUGGAUUCAAAAGUAUUUUUAAAAUUAAGUUGUUUAAUUGAUUUAAAAUUUAAAAUAUGC
RNAcentral lists this ribosomal RNA (333 nucleotides) under Pseudouroctonus glimmei. RNAcentral describes it as "partial 12S ribosomal RNA". The record is from RNAcentral. Lineage: Eukaryota; Metazoa; Arthropoda; Arachnida; Scorpiones; Vaejovidae.